RNAcentral lists this ribosomal RNA (372 nucleotides) under uncultured bacterium. RNAcentral's name for it is "bacterial SSU rRNA". It matches the Rfam family "Bacterial small subunit ribosomal RNA", at positions 524 to 898 of the family's 1533-position model. The record is from RNAcentral.
UACGGAGGAUGCAAGCGUUAUCCGGAUUCAUUGGGUUUAAAGGGUGCGCAGGCGGGGAUGUAAGUCAGUGGUGAAAAACUGCCGCUUAACGGUAGUCGUGCCAUUGAUACUGCAUCUCUUGAGUUUGGAUGAGGUAGGCGGAAUGUGCAGUGUAGCGGUGAAAUGCAUAGAGAUUGCACAGAACACCAAUUGCGAAGGCAGCUUACUAAUCCACGACUGACGCUGAGGCACGAAAGCGUGGGGAGCGAACAGGAUUAGAUACCCUGGUAGUCCACGCCGUAAACGAUGUUCACUCGCUGUUUGCGAUACACAGUAAGCGGCUGAGCGAAAGCAUUAAGUGAACCACCUGGGGAGUACGAUCGCAAGGUUGAA